UACCGAACAGCUAGCCCAACCCACCAAUAGCAACAACCCACUAUAAAUACCCCCAAAUAAACGAGCAUUAACCAAACAAACCAUUUUUCCCCCUAAGUAUGGGAGACAGAAAAG
This 114-nucleotide ribosomal RNA is filed under the name Pterygotrigla macrorhynchus (longnose gurnard). RNAcentral's name for it is "partial 16S ribosomal RNA". Lineage: Eukaryota; Metazoa; Chordata; Actinopteri; Perciformes; Triglidae. The record is from RNAcentral.